This 2522-nucleotide unclassified non-coding RNA is filed under the name Cotesia glomerata. RNAcentral's name for it is "eukaryotic translation initiation factor 4E-binding protein Mextli, transcript variant X4". The record is from RNAcentral. Lineage: Eukaryota; Metazoa; Arthropoda; Insecta; Hymenoptera; Braconidae.
UACAAACAUCUCCAUAUAUAUAGGCACUUGGUGAUAUAUAUGUAUAUACAUUCCUUGGUGUACAUGUAUAACAGGAAAAAGAAACGACGAAACCUCCUGUCAUAUUCUUUGCAAAGAAAGCCAUUGUUCGAAAUACAUCAGUAAGUCGUGGGUUAAAUUAUUAAAAUUGUAACGAUUCGAAAUGGCAAGUACCCAGUUGACACCACGACCUAGAAUGACGAAAAAACACGAAAAGCCACGGCCUUUAAAACUUAAUCUUCGACACUCAAGUAUUGAUGAGAGAAUUGCUACAGUUGAAGACUUGGUAUCUCUCAUUGAUAAUGUAGCUUCGAAUUUAUCGAAUGGUUUUCACGACCCAACUCUUCAGCAGAAUAUUAUUACUAUGUGUAAUACUUUGAAACAAUGUGCUCAUCAAUUCGAACCAGUUUAUAAAGAUCAAUUGGACAGAGCUUUUGUAGCCAUACGCAAUGGAAGCCAAGACGAAAGACUCGAUCUGACGACAAGAAUUCAUUUACUGGAGCUAAUUGAACUGAGAGCUAAGCAAUGGCGCUACAAUGACUCAAUGGAUGCUUAUUAUGCAUCCAAGCUUGCUGAUUUAAAUGAACAGUCGGAUAAUAUGAUCGGCGUUGAUGGGAUGAACAACCAAGUAGCAACCCUCAAUCUGACUUCACCCCAAACGCCUCCAGUGCUCGGUGUCGGUGAAGUAAUAAAAACCAGCGGAAAAUUCACUAAACCCACGCGAAUUCCCGGUAAAAAUUACUGCAAAGAUGAAGUUGUGAUUCGCAACAGCGACUCUGGAAAAGUGAUGGGAAUAAAGGGAAGACGUGUUCAUAUGAUAGAGGAGCUCAGCGAGACGAUCAUCUCCUUUCAGCGAGUAAAUCCUGGAGCUAGAGAACGACUGGUCCAAAUAACUGGGACUUCAGAAGAAAAAAUACAUUACGCGAAAGAUUUAAUCAAGGAAACAAUCCAACGAAAUGCUUCACCAGUUCGAAUGGGACCGGCCAGAGCUGCUGACACGAGUGGUAUCGGAGGAUCAAGCUCAUCUUUGAACAGCAGCGCCUCGGACGAAAGUAAUCGUCUUCCUCAGCAGUUCCAGCAGCCAUCGCAGAUGCGCUCGACACUGCUUCACAGCUUGUCGACCAACGACGCGAACAUUGGCGAUUACAAGCACACCGUAAACGUCGGCAAUCAUUCAUUAAAAAUAACUGGAAGCAACUUGAAUCUUGUGAGAACAGCUAAAAUCAUUCUCGAUGAGCACUUUUCCAAGUGGUCUGGAGACAGUGGGAUCGAGUGUUUUGAUUUUACUGAUGACUUUCCAUCUUUUCCCAACACUCCUGUCAAUAAUCAGCAGGUCAAAAUCCCCGAUAAUAAUGCUAAUGUUAAUGUUGAUGCUGCUGUAAAAAGGGAAAAUAGCUUGGAGAGUAAUGCGACUUCCGAGAGCGAAGAAACUUUUAAGUCUACUAAUCAAACGAUUAAAGAAAAAAUUAAUAAUCGACGAAACGAAAAUCGAGAAAUGUCAUAUGAAUUAUUAUUACUCUGCGCAAAAGGUCCUUACGCAAAGCGACCACCAGCUAACUGGGCGCGCAUAAAAGAAGAAUGUCCCAAUAUUAUUCGUAAGGUAGAAACUCGCCGGUCGACCGAUACCAAUUUCAUACGUUCAAACCUACACUAUGGAAUGUCUAAUCAUUGUGACCGCCACCGUCGGUCGUACUAAACCAAAUACGCACUAAAACCAAAACAAUGAACUGCUUAAUCAUUUAUUAACAUUCAUACUCCAUUGAUUUGAUUAAUCAAUAAUUAUUACUUUAUUUUUACUGUUUUUUUUUUUGUUUAAUUGCUUGAUAAACUUUGUGUUUUUAAAAAUCGUACGCAUAUACUAAAAAGUAGCUUACUUUUACUCAAUAUUUUAUAAAGUUUAAAUUUGAUCUUUAUAAUUGCAUUGAACGUGAUAGUAUUUGUAUUUGAAAAAAAUAUUAUAUUGUUUGUACCUGGAGUACGAGAACGAGUAAAAGACUUAUAGGAUAUGAAUAAGUAUUUGUCAUGUAUUGAAUCUCAGAUUUGAAUCUCGGUAUUAGUGAGUUUAAUUAUUAGUAUUAAUAAUAAUAUAAAUAAUUAUAGUAAUGUAUUAAUCGUAAGUAUUUUGUCGAGGGUAAAAAAUUAUCCGUGCCAUAUAAAACUAAUUCCAAAGAUAAAAAAUCAAAUACAUAUUUAAGAUUAAUAUUUAUUAUUAAUAUUGAGAUCAAAAUUUUAUUAGGAGAGCGUUACGAUUUAAAAGAUUAAUGUGAGGAAAUGUAGAAACUUAAAAUAAAUACAUUAAUAACUAAUACAAUAACCAUCAUAAUAAUUAUAAUUAAAAUUGUUAACUAACUCUUGGCUCUUUAAAUUACUAAUUUGUACUUGCACUUUUUUUUAACAAGUCACCGAUUCGCUGGUUCGAACCGGACACUUACAAAGCCAAAGUCGCAACCGCUGGAAUGAGAACGGUGCUGUCUUCAGCUGAAGAAAUUGAUUUAGAAUGAUAA